Molecule: ribosomal RNA, 495 nt
Filed under: uncultured bacterium
Lineage: Bacteria
Description: partial 16S ribosomal RNA
Rfam family: Bacterial small subunit ribosomal RNA
Source: RNAcentral
GAUGAACGCUGGCGGCGUGCCUAAUACAUGCAAUUCGAGCGAACGGACGAAAACCUUGCUUCUCUGAUGUUAGCGGCGGACGGGUGAGUAACACGUGGAUACCCUACCUAUAAGACUGGGAUAACUUCGGGAAACCGGGGCUAAUACCGGAUAAUAUUUUGAACCGCAUGGUUCAAAAGUGAAAGACGGUCUUGCUGUCACUUAUAGAUGGAUCCGCGCUGCAUUAGCUAGUUGGUAAGGUAACGGCUUACCAAGGCAACGAUGCAUAGCCGACCUGAGAGGGUGAUCGGCCACUGGAACUGAGACACGGUCCAGACUCCUACGGGAGGCAGCAGUAGGGAAUCUUCCGCAAUGGGCGAAAGCCUGACGGAGCAACGCCGCGUGAGUGAUGAAGGUCUUCGGAUCGUAAAACUCUGUUAUUAGGGAAGAACAUAUGUGUAAGUAACUGUGCACAUCUUGACGGUACCUAAUCAGAAAGCCACGGCUAACUACGUG